GUCUCCGGCCAUACUACCUUGGACACACCCAGUCUCAUCUGAUCCCAGAAGCUAAGCAGUGUUAGUCCUGGUUGGAUGGAGAACAUUCUCUAGGAUCCGGAGGGA
This 105-nucleotide ribosomal RNA is filed under the name Mus caroli (Ryukyu mouse). The record is from RNAcentral. Lineage: Eukaryota; Metazoa; Chordata; Mammalia; Rodentia; Muridae.